CUGGCUCAGGAUGAACGCUAGCUACAGGCUAACACAUGCAAGUCGAGGGGCAGCAUUGGGUAGCAAUACUCAGAUGGCGACCGGCGCACGGGUGAGUAACACGUAUCCAACCUGCCGCUUACUCGGGGAUAGCCUUUCGAAAGAAAGAUUAAUACCCGAUGGUAUAAAGAGUUCGCAUGUUCUCUUUAUUAAAGAAUUUCGGUAAGCGAUGGGGAUGCGUUCCAUUAGAUAGUUGGCGGGGUAACGGCCCACCAAGUCUACGAUGGAUAGGGGUUCUGAGAGGAAGGUCCCCCACAUUGGAACUGAGACACGGUCCAAACUCCUACGGGAGGCAGCAGUGAGGAAUAUUGGUCAAUGGACGAGAGUCUGAACCAGCCAAGUAGCGUGAAGGAUGACUGCCCUAUGGGUUGUAAACUUCUUUUAUAAGGGAAUAAAGUGAGGGACGUGUCCCUUUUUGUAUGUACCUUAUGAAUAAGGAUCGGCUAACUCCGUGCCAGCAGCAGC
RNAcentral lists this ribosomal RNA (504 nucleotides) under uncultured bacterium. RNAcentral describes it as "bacterial SSU rRNA". It matches the Rfam family "Bacterial small subunit ribosomal RNA", at positions 19 to 518 of the family's 1533-position model. The record is from RNAcentral.